This 249-nucleotide ribosomal RNA is filed under the name uncultured bacterium. RNAcentral describes it as "partial 16S ribosomal RNA". It matches the Rfam family "Bacterial small subunit ribosomal RNA", at positions 796 to 1041 of the family's 1533-position model. The record is from RNAcentral.
CAUGCCGUAAACGAUGAUAGCUAGGUGUGGGGGGACUGACCCCUUCCGUGCCGCAGCAAACGCAAUAAGCUAUCCACCUGGGGAGUACGACCGCAAGGUUGAAACUCAAAGGAAUUGACGGGGGCCCGCACAAGCAGUGGAGUAUGUGGUUUAAUUCGAAGCAACGCGAAGAACCUUACCAGGUCUUGACAUCCAACUAACGAAGCAGAGAUGCAUCAGGUGCCCUUCGGGGAAAGUUGAGACAGGUGG